UGCAACAAAGUUGCCACACGGAGUGAUCGGC
Molecule: non-coding RNA, 31 nt
Filed under: Mus musculus (house mouse)
Lineage: Eukaryota; Metazoa; Chordata; Mammalia; Rodentia; Muridae
Source: RNAcentral